GUCUGUGGUCUAACCACCCUGGAUAUACCCAAUUUUGUCUGAUUUUGGAAACUAAGGAGGGCUGAGCCUAGUUUGUACGUGUAUGGAGAUAUGACAUAAUUUUCAACAAGAAUUAUAUUUCCGUUGCUGCAGUAU
RNAcentral lists this ribosomal RNA (135 nucleotides) under Peromyscus maniculatus bairdii (prairie deer mouse). Lineage: Eukaryota; Metazoa; Chordata; Mammalia; Rodentia; Cricetidae. The record is from RNAcentral.